GGCAGCAAAAAAUGGUGUCUGGUCACACAUUCCUCAUAAUCAUGCUGCCCGCUGCGUUAUUUUUCCUACAAGAAGCACAUGGUUCUCUAGUUGUGGAGGAAAGGCAGAUAGUGUGCGACCGAUUGCUGGGUCCAUGUCGAUAUCGAGACGCAUGCAGAUGCAACCCGACUUCAAGGUUGGGACUAAGAUCUCUAGGCACGUACUACUUCCGGCGUGGCAGGUGUCAUGCAGGCGGAUUUGCCAGAAACUGCAACGGAUUUCCGACAAGGGUGGCGUGCCAUUCAGCAUGCAUUGCCUUGUCUUUGGCAAUCAGCGCUAGUCGCGUAUGUUACGUAUGUUGGAAGAAACAUACGUUCCAAUAAAUUGGUUCUCUACGACAAUAUGACGCCGUUGUCAAGAUUUACCGCGGGUGAAGGAUGCAGUAAGGGCGUAAUGAUGCGCUCAUGUAAAAUACAGUUUAUUUUGGUUGACAAAAGCAUUGACAAUUCAAUUGUAUUUCGAAACAGAGAUAUCCAAAACUGAUUUGAGAACUUCAUUCCGAACGGCUGGCUGUGGCGAAGCCUUUGGACUCGGAUUAAUAAAAAAUGCAUUAUUGCUCUAUACCAAACGCUAUGCGAAUAACAGUAUGUGUAUACGGAAGCUAAUACUUUGAAAUCUAAAUUUUUGAAUACAUCGUGGUAUGCUUAUGAGGUAAGAUGGGUCAAAUAAAUGGCACAUA
This is a long non-coding RNA of Rhipicephalus sanguineus (brown dog tick), 718 nucleotides long. RefSeq lists it as uncharacterized. The transcript has 3 exons. The record is from RefSeq and is a predicted model, not a curated record. NCBI's taxonomy places the organism in Eukaryota, Metazoa, Arthropoda, Arachnida, Ixodida, Ixodidae.